RNAcentral lists this long non-coding RNA (849 nucleotides) under Triticum aestivum (bread wheat). Its description in RNAcentral is "long non-coding RNA (TAES_LNC021323)". Lineage: Eukaryota; Viridiplantae; Streptophyta; Magnoliopsida; Poales; Poaceae. The record is from RNAcentral.
UAAAACUUAAUGGUGAAAUUUGCUUUGAAACAACAAUAUCCACAUGUAAAAGAAAUAGAGACGAUAUCUACUGAAAGUUCGCUGCAAAUGGAAGAACUUUUUUUCAUUCAGGUGUUCUUUUGAUCAUUGGCGUACCUUGGACGAUCAUUGGCGUACCUUGGCCUCAGAGCAGGGGCUCACUAUUUUCUAAUUCACUAACAGAACUCCGGACCCAAAAUUAGUAAAUGGAUGUUCUCCAGGUUAGGAUACAAUACUGCUAACUAUAUUUGCUACCCCACCUCAACGAUCACACCUCAGAACCUGCAACCCGAAUGCUCGGAACUGGUUUCGUUUUACUUUGUCACUAAUAGUGUGUUAAUUCACCACUGUCUAGCCCCUAGCCCUGCACCAUUUUUCAUUUUUGAUUGUUAAUUCACCCAUAUUAUCCUGCACACCAACCUAGCCAAGAAACAUAGCUAGCAAACAAAGCAAGAAUGUAGAACAUGUAGUGUGGUUAACUGAUAAGAUUGAUCAAACACCAUUAAAAGACAUUCUUAAAAAAAUAAUGUCAAAGUAGGCAAUGAACAUGAAGAGUCGGUCAACACUUACGUAUAAAUUCUAAACAUGGGAGAAAAAUUAGUUUCAUGUGAAAACUGAAGGGAAGGCACAUGAUGUGAACUUCUGACAAUAUAAACAAUAUUCUCAUUCAUGAAAUUCUGAAGUUACCACCGCCUAUACGAAUAGGAUGGCAUUGGUUAGGACGUUAGGUACACUAUACUUUCAAAGAUGAUCGGAAAAAAUACAGGAUGAGAGAUACCUUGUCAAUUGAACAAGCUCAACCAAGAUAGUUAGAUGAGAUCUCCUAGUUCU